Long non-coding RNA from Drosophila ananassae, 393 nucleotides. RefSeq lists it as uncharacterized. The record is from RefSeq and is a predicted model, not a curated record. Lineage: Eukaryota; Metazoa; Arthropoda; Insecta; Diptera; Drosophilidae. The transcript is spliced from 2 exons.
GCGACAACCAUACUGUUGAGUCAUCUAAAAUAUGUUGGCAUUUGAGGAUAAAUAAAUUAAGAACCUAAAUGUGAUACUUACUUUUAAUUUAAAUGCCUCACAAAUUGUUCUCGCAGCAGUGGGAAAAUCUAUCGUUUACAGAUAUUUGCCAACUAUCAAAGUCUUUUACAAGUCCAUGGGGAAGAAACCAAAUAUAACCAUACUGUUGAGUCAUCUAAAAUAUGUCGGCAUUUGAGGAUAAAUAAAUUAAGAACCUAAAUGUGAUACUUACUUUUAAUUUAAAUGCCUCACAAAUUGUUCUCGCAGCAGUAGGAAAAUGUAAAUUUGCAAUUAUAAUCUUAGAACGGGCUUGAUUUAAGUUUUGAAGGUUCUAAUAAAAUGAUUAUUGAUGAA